Molecule: small nucleolar RNA, 107 nt
Organism: Gossypium raimondii (Peruvian cotton)
Lineage: Eukaryota; Viridiplantae; Streptophyta; Magnoliopsida; Malvales; Malvaceae
Source: RefSeq, a predicted model, not a curated record
AGACCAUGGUGAGUGCAUAUUUGUAUGACUGACUUAAAACGCUCCUAAUCUUCAUGAAAACUCUCUUCUUCCAAUUCUUUAAACUUUGCAAUCUCCUUCAUUAGUUG